GAGGGUUGAUAGGUUAAGAGCUAGGUUUGCUGACGUUACUCGCAGAAUAAGCACCGGCUAACUCCGUGCCAGCAGCCGCGGUAAUACGGAGGGUGCGAGCGUUAAUCGGAAUUACUGGGCGUAAAGGGUGCGUAGGUGGUUAGAUAAGUUAUCUGUAAAAUCCCUGGGCUUAACCUGGGCAUGUCAGAUAAGACUGUUUGACUCGAGUAUAGGAGAGGGUAGUGGAAUUUCCGGUGUAGCGGUGAAAUGCGUAGAGAUCGGAAGGAACACCAGUGGCGAAGGCGGCUACCUGGCCUGAUACUGACACUGAGGCACGAAAGCGUGGGGAGCAAACAGGAUUAGAUACCCUGGUAGUCCACGCUGUAAACGAUGUCAACUAGCUGUUGGUCAUAU
Molecule: ribosomal RNA, 393 nt
Filed under: uncultured bacterium
Lineage: Bacteria
Description: bacterial SSU rRNA
Rfam family: Bacterial small subunit ribosomal RNA
Source: RNAcentral